GAUGAACGCUGGCGGCGUGCCUAAUACAUGCAAGUCGAACGCUGGAAAUCUAGCUUGCUAGAUUGAAGGAGUGGCGAACGGGUGAGUAAUACAUAAGCAACCUACCCACGAAGACUGGGAUAAUCUCUGGAAACGGGGACUAAUACCGGAUAGGUAAUCGGAAGGCAUCUUCUGAUUAUUAAAGGUUAAAAACACUGGUGGAUGGGCUUAUGGCGCAUUAGUUAGUUGGUGAGGUAACGGCCCACCAAGACGAUGAUGCAUAGCCGGCCUGAGAGGGUGAACGGCCACAUUGGGACUGAGACACGGCCCAGACUCCUACGGGAGGCAGCAGUAGGGAAUUUUCGGCAAUGGGGGAAACCCUGACCGAGCAACGCCGCGUGAGUGAUGACGGCCUUCGGGUUGUAAAGCUCUGUUGUAAGGGAAGAACGGUAGAUAGAGAAUAUCUAAAUGACGGUACCUUACCAGAAAGCCACGGCUAACUACGUG
RNAcentral lists this ribosomal RNA (486 nucleotides) under uncultured bacterium. Its description in RNAcentral is "partial 16S ribosomal RNA". It matches the Rfam family "Bacterial small subunit ribosomal RNA", at positions 28 to 507 of the family's 1533-position model. The record is from RNAcentral.